RNAcentral lists this transfer RNA (78 nucleotides) under bacterium (Candidatus Moisslbacteria) CG12_big_fil_rev_8_21_14_0_65_36_11. RNAcentral's name for it is "tRNA-His". It matches the Rfam family "tRNA". Rfam says of the family: Transfer RNA (tRNA) molecules are approximately 80 nucleotides in length. Their secondary structure includes four short double-helical elements and three loops (D, anti-codon, and T loops). Further hydrogen bonds mediate the characteristic L-shaped molecular structure. tRNAs have two regions of fundamental functional importance: the anti-codon, which is responsible for specific mRNA codon recognition, and the 3' end, to which the tRNAs corresponding amino acid is attached (by aminoacyl-tRNA synthetases). tRNAs cope with the degeneracy of the genetic code in two manners: having more than one tRNA (with a specific anti-codon) for a particular amino acid; and 'wobble' base-pairing, i.e. permitting non-standard base-pairing at the 3rd anti-codon position. The record is from RNAcentral.
GUGGGCGUAGCUCAGUUGGUUUAGAGCGCUGACCUGUGGAGUCAGAAGUCGGGAGUUCAAAUCUCCUCGCCCACCCCA